CCGGCUCCGCGGUCACCCCGGAAAAUUGCCUGUGCUCCCCGGCGCAUUCACUCACCCGCUCAGCAGGGGUGAACUGCGGGCCUCCCGAGUGCCAGGCACUGGGGAUUCGGGGUGGAUACCACCUUGCCCCCCCGCUCUAGACUAGCUCCCCGGUUAGCAGGGACACUGUUACAGCAAUUACUGCACAAUGUUACAGGUGCUUUUAUGAGGUGCAUGCUGAGAUUUGUGCCCACAAGCGUAUUCUGUGCGCGUGACCUAAGACCCCACAAUUGAACUGAAUCUUGGAGGAUGGUGUCAGACAGGAACACUCUGCAAGAGACUGAUGAGGGAACAUACACAGGAAGCUGGACCUGGGAUGCAGGUGUGAGCUAUGUGGAGAAGCAAGGAAGGACGGUUGUAUGGAAGGAAGCUUCUUAUACUACAGUGCAGCUCUAAGAAAGUUCAGCAAGGCUGUGGGGGUUCCUCAAGCCACAAUGGCCUAUCCCAGGAGUCCAGCAUCUCCCAGGAAUAGACCUCUUGUACUUAGUCAUGGGCUGCGAGCAGCCGCGGCAAGAUGGCCUCUGCACCAAGCUAGCGAUAAAUAUCAGAGAAGAGAUUUCCGAUCUCAGUCUCUGGGACGGAUCCACUGGUCGGUUAUGCUCUGCACUGGAAGAUCUGAGAAGUACAUUUUCUUGGUCGCUAUAAUGGUAUUAUUCCUGUCUGACAAGAGGAAACCGUGGCUCUGUAAGGUGAGACUCAACUCUAUAUAUAGGGAGUGGUGGCUACAUGGCAGGUACACAGACUAAUAACCCCCUGAUCAUCACUCUCCUGAGGGUCAGACGGAGAUUACUGCUGCUACUGGUGAGAUGUGGAGGCUGAUGCCCUGGCAGAGAGACAAGCAGGAAGUUUCCCAGUGACCUCUCUAUACCUAAAAUCAGAAGAACAGGAACUUGAGAAGAACAAGCACCCUUGUGAAUGAAUGACUAUUGGUGCCUGCUGCAAAACUCAGUCAUUCAAGACUCAGAAAGAGAACAAACUUCCUUCACAAACUCUGAAAAAGGCUCCAGGACAAUAGACUCUGAGACAGGAGAAGCAAGAAGGGCUCUUAGGGCCCCACCUGAAAUCUAGAAUAAUGAGAUCUUCAACGGAGGUUAUUGGAUAAUCAUUGUGUACUUUUAUGUUAAAAGUAUUAAUGUGUUAAAUGUAGACAUUUAUUUUUUUUUAAGAUUUUAUUUAUUUACUUGAGAGAGAGAGUAUGAGCAGG
This is a non-coding RNA of Leptonychotes weddellii (Weddell seal), 1243 nucleotides long. NCBI's taxonomy places the organism in Eukaryota, Metazoa, Chordata, Mammalia, Carnivora, Phocidae. The record is from RefSeq and is a predicted model, not a curated record.